GAUUUAUUAGUUCUCUGCUUCUGGCAUCUUGCUUGUCUUAGGCUAGUGGCGAUAAUAGUUUGAAAAAGUUGCAGAAAAAAGAAGAGGGAGCAGGGUCGCCAACUGGCUAGCCCGUGGGAUUUCUGGCAGCUGCAUCGACAUCUUUGUUUUAUUCUUGUUUUUCAUCUAUGGUCCGACAAUGUUUGCCAAAUUUCUGUCGGAGAGUGACGGAAUGUGGCAUUGGUUUGCU
RNAcentral lists this long non-coding RNA (229 nucleotides) under Nicotiana benthamiana. RNAcentral describes it as "long non-coding RNA (NBEN_LNC025248)". Lineage: Eukaryota; Viridiplantae; Streptophyta; Magnoliopsida; Solanales; Solanaceae. The record is from RNAcentral.